GGGUGUGAUAAGGUUCACGCUGAGGCGUUUUAAGUGUAUAUGAGUCACUGAGCUGGCGUUUUUCUUGGUAGAAAGCUUAAUUCUUCCUCGAAGCGAGCUGCAGCUGACUACUUACUGAAGUGUGGGCUUGUGGAGUUAAACAACUGAGAUUUAGCUUUUAAAAUGUCACUUUGCAGCUUAGUUGCAUCUGUGUUUACAGGAAUUGCGGCUGAAAGAAAGCGGGAGGUGUGUACACACAUUGCCAUCUUCCUUGGCUGAAGAAAGAAAUACUGUUGCUGCAGGAAGCAAAAUAAAACAUGUUGUGAAUCCCUGAGGAGACCUGCUAUGGGAGGUCACAAAAUAAAGCCCCAAUUCUCAGAAGCAUGCUUCACAAAUAUGGAUCAUGCUACGUGACUUACACACCAGGCAAGUCUCUUAAGGUUCCCGUUAAGCUGGACUCACCACUGAGACAUAUUGAACAGAAAACAAGGAUAUGCUUCUGCGUAAAAAACCA
RNAcentral lists this long non-coding RNA (493 nucleotides) under Strigops habroptila (Kakapo). RNAcentral's name for it is "lncRNA (ENSSHBG00005000941.1)". The record is from RNAcentral. Lineage: Eukaryota; Metazoa; Chordata; Aves; Psittaciformes; Psittacidae.